RNAcentral lists this ribosomal RNA (253 nucleotides) under uncultured bacterium. Its description in RNAcentral is "partial 16S ribosomal RNA". It matches the Rfam family "Bacterial small subunit ribosomal RNA", at positions 524 to 776 of the family's 1533-position model. The record is from RNAcentral.
UACGGGGGGAGCAAGCGUUGUUCGGAUUUAUUGGGCGUAAAGAGCUCGUAGGCGGCUUGUCGCGUCGGCUGUGAAAACCCGCGGCUCAACUGUGGGCGGGCAGCUGAUACGGGCAGGCUGGAGUUCGGUAGGGGAGACUGGAAUUCCUGGUGUAGCGGUGAAAUGCGCAGAUAUCAGGAAGAACACCCGUGGCGAAGGCGGUUCCCUGGAACGCAACUGACGCUGAGACGCGAAAGCGUGGGGAGCAAACAGG